Molecule: ribosomal RNA, 90 nt
Filed under: Oligodon arenarius
Lineage: Eukaryota; Metazoa; Chordata; Lepidosauria; Squamata; Colubridae
Description: partial 12S ribosomal RNA
Source: RNAcentral
CCAUCAAAACAACCCCAUUAAUAAUAACACACCAAUACAAACCAGGGCAAGUCGUAACAUGGUAAGCGUACUGGAAAGUGCGCUUAGAAA